Long non-coding RNA from Osmerus eperlanus (European smelt), 438 nucleotides. RefSeq lists it as uncharacterized. Lineage: Eukaryota; Metazoa; Chordata; Actinopteri; Osmeriformes; Osmeridae. The record is from RefSeq and is a predicted model, not a curated record. The transcript is spliced from 4 exons.
AUGUUUGCAGUGGUUAAAUUUCCAAAUGAAGAAAACAGUUUAGCUGUUGUCUCAAAGAGUUGGUGCACAAAGAACAGAUGUUAUUGGCCUCCAUAUAAAACCCAGGAGAGAUUGCGGAAGGCAGUGAUCUUACAUGAAGUUCCAGACAUUAAUACAUGGGAGGUGUUCUCCAUGGAGAUAUUGAAGAUCAAGGAUUCGUAUGACAAAGCACAUGAGUGCCUGGUUCGGGCUGAGAAAGAUUCAAGUCUUGAAACGGAACCAGAAACCACACAAAGGAAACGAAAGCGAAAUCCAAAGUAUGACCAGACUGACUCUGAGGAGUCUGACGCUGCUGAACAGCCCUUCCCCCCCAGCGCCGAAGCCCCCCAGCUUUACCACUAAGAAAAAGUCAUCAGGACCCCGUUUCCGGCCCUCUUUGACACCCUGUGCUGACGGUUG